This 199-nucleotide unclassified non-coding RNA is filed under the name uncultured fungus. RNAcentral's name for it is "sequence contains ITS1". The record is from RNAcentral. Lineage: Eukaryota; Fungi.
CCAAACCUGGUGAAAGAUUGUGAGAAAUCACUCUCUAGAUCCGAUCGAGCGAGAGUCUUCGGACCCUCACUUAGUGGUUUUCGGAAUCACGGCUCGUGGUGUCUCUCGAGAUGCGCGACGAGUAAGUCCCCUCCUCUUAACUGAGAAAGGGCAAGCAUACAUUAAAGAAUUUCUUCUGAGUAACCGAUUAAAUAAAUCA